Molecule: ribosomal RNA, 402 nt
Filed under: bacterium
Lineage: Bacteria
Description: partial 16S ribosomal RNA
Rfam family: Bacterial small subunit ribosomal RNA
Source: RNAcentral
UGGGGAAUUUUGCACAAUGGGAGAAACCCUGAUGCAGCGACGCCGCGUGAUUUAGAAGGCCUUCGGGUUGUAAAAAUCUUUUCUAUGGGAAGAAAAUGACAGUACCAUAGGAAUAAGGACCGGCUAAUUACGUGCCAGCAGCCGCGGUAAUACGUAAGGUCCGAGCGUUGUCCGGAAUCAUUGGGCGUAAAGGGUACGUAGGCGGGUAAGCAAGUUAGAAGUGAAAUCCUAUAGCUCAACUAUAGUAAGCUUUUAAAACUGCUCAUCUUGAGGUAUGGAAGGGAAAGUGGAAUUCCUAGUGUAGCGGUGAAAUGCGCAGAUAUUAGGAGGAAUACCGGUGGCGAAGGCGACUUUCUGGCCAUAACCUGACGCUGAGGUACGAAAGCGUGGGUAGCAAACAGG